AGAUUGAACGCUGGCGGCAUGCCUAACACAUGCAAGUCGAACGGGAGUAGCAAUACUCUAGUGGCGGACGGGUGAGGAAUACGUAGGAAUUUGCCCUUAAGUGGGGGAUAACCCGGGGAAACCCGGAUUAAUACCGCAUGACCUCGAAAGAGCAAAGUGGGGAUCGCAAGACCUCACGCUUUUGGAGAAGCCUACGUCGGAUUAGCUAGUUGGUGAGGUAAUGGCUCACCAAGGCGACGAUCCGUAACUGGUCUGAGAGGAUGAUCAGUCACACCGGAACUGAGACACCGGUCCGGACUCCGUACGGGA
This 309-nucleotide ribosomal RNA is filed under the name uncultured soil bacterium. RNAcentral describes it as "bacterial SSU rRNA". It matches the Rfam family "Bacterial small subunit ribosomal RNA", at positions 26 to 346 of the family's 1533-position model. The record is from RNAcentral.